GCUUACGGCCAUACCAGCCUGGGUACGCCCGAUCUCGUCUGAUCUCGGAAGCUAAGCAGGGUCGGUCCUGGUUAGUACUUGGAUGGGAGACCGCCUGGGAAUACCAGGUGCUGUAAGCA
Molecule: ribosomal RNA, 119 nt
Filed under: Salmo salar (Atlantic salmon)
Lineage: Eukaryota; Metazoa; Chordata; Actinopteri; Salmoniformes; Salmonidae
Source: RNAcentral